UACGUAGGUUGCAAGCGUUGUCCGGAUUUAUUGGGCGUAAAGAGCGUGUAGGCGGCCUGAAAGGUCAGCUGUGAAAACUCGAGGCUCAACCUCGAGACGUCGGUUGAAACCAUCUGGCUAGAGUCCGGAAGAGGAGUGUGGAAUUCCCGGUGUAGCGGUGAAAUGCGCAGAUAUCGGGAAGAACACCCAUGGCGAAGGCGGCACUCUGGGACGGUACUGACGCUGAGACGCGAAAGCGUGGGGAGCGAACAGG
This 253-nucleotide ribosomal RNA is filed under the name uncultured bacterium. RNAcentral's name for it is "partial 16S ribosomal RNA". It matches the Rfam family "Bacterial small subunit ribosomal RNA", at positions 524 to 776 of the family's 1533-position model. The record is from RNAcentral.